Molecule: ribosomal RNA, 379 nt
Filed under: uncultured eukaryote
Lineage: Eukaryota
Description: SSU rRNA
Rfam family: Eukaryotic small subunit ribosomal RNA
Source: RNAcentral
AGCUCCAAUAGCGUAUAUUAAAGUUGUUGCCGUUAAAAAGCUCGUAGUUGAACUUUGGAUCUGGCCGAUCUGUCCUCCUAACCGAGCGCACGGAUUCGGUCGGAUCUUUCCUUCUGGGGAACCCGAUGCUCUUCAUUGGGUGUCGCGGGGAACCAGGACUUUUACCUUGAAAAAAUUAGAGUGUUCAAAGCAGGCCUUUGCUCGAAUACAUUAGCAUGGAAUAAUAAAAUAGGACAUCGGUUCUAUUUUGUUGGUUUCUAGGACCGCUGUAAUGAUUAAUAGGGAUAGUCGGGGGCGUCCGUAUUCAAUUGUCAGAGGUGAAAUUCUUGGAUUUAUUGAAGACGAACUACUGCGAAAGCAUUCGCCAAGGAUGUUUUCA